UUCAGGAUGAGAAGAUCAGUGGUAUUAAUUCUCGUAGCUGCGUCAGUUGCUCUUGGUGAUCGCAUUGUCCCAGAUCAAGCUGUUGUUAUCAGAGAUGAAACCGACCGGGUCACAUUGAGUUGCUCGUAUGAAACAAGCAGUGAAUAUGUUGAUCUUUAUUGGUACAGACAGUAUCCUAAAAGUGAGCCACAGUACAUACUGUGGAAAAGUGCACGACAAAGUAGUGGGAGUGAUAUACCAGAUCCUCAUUUUGAAUCUUCUACAAGCAGAACAUCCACUGAACUGAUUAUUAAAGCAGCUACUCUGAACGAUUCAGCUCUCUAUUACUGUGCUCUUUGGAAAGACCCAGUGAUACAAAGUUUCUGAGAAGCUUUAC
Molecule: non-coding RNA, 376 nt
Organism: Carassius auratus (goldfish)
Lineage: Eukaryota; Metazoa; Chordata; Actinopteri; Cypriniformes; Cyprinidae
Source: the annotation of a RefSeq genome assembly